UACGGAGGAUGCAAGCGUUAUCCGGAAUUAUUGGGCGUAAAGCGUCCGCAGGUGGCACUUCAAGUCUGUCGUCAAAGACCGGGGCUUAACCCUGGAAAGGCGAUGGAAACUGAAAGGCUAGAGAGAGGUAGGGGUAGAGGGAAUUCCCAGUGUAGCGGUGAAAUGUGUAGAGAUUGGGAAGAACAUCGGUGGCGAAAGCGCUCUACUGGGCCAUAACUGACACUCAGGGACGAAAGCUAGGGGAGCGAAUGGG
RNAcentral lists this ribosomal RNA (253 nucleotides) under uncultured bacterium. RNAcentral's name for it is "partial 16S ribosomal RNA". It matches the Rfam family "Bacterial small subunit ribosomal RNA", at positions 524 to 776 of the family's 1533-position model. The record is from RNAcentral.